Molecule: ribosomal RNA, 758 nt
Filed under: uncultured bacterium
Lineage: Bacteria
Description: bacterial SSU rRNA
Rfam family: Bacterial small subunit ribosomal RNA
Source: RNAcentral
AUAACUACUCGAAAGGGUAGCUAAUCCCGCAUGCGAUCCGGUAUUCAUUUACCUGAUCAAAGGUCGUAAGAUCGCUCGGAGAGGGGCCUGCGGCGGAUUAGCUAGUUGGUAGGGUAAUGGCCUACCAAGGCGACGAUCCGUAGGGGGCGUGAGAGCGUGACCCCCCACACUGGCACUGAGACACGGGCCAGACUCCUACGGGAGGCAGCAGGAGGGAAUCUUGCACAAUGGGCGAAAGCCAGAUGCAGCGACGCCGCGUGGGCGAUGAAGGCCUUCGGGUUGUAAAGCCCUUUUCUGAGGGAAGAGUAAGGACGGUACCUCAGGAAUAAGCGUCGGCUAACUACGUGCCAGCAGCCGCGGUAAGACGUAGGACGCGAGCGUUAUCCGGAUUUAUUGGGCGUAAAGCGCGUGCAGGUGGUUCCGUAAGUCGGGUGUGAAAGCCCCUGGCUCAACUGGGGGACGCCAUUCGAUACUGCGGAGCUUGAGGUCAGAAGAGGGGAGCGGAAUUCCCAGUGUAGCGGUGAAAUGCGCAGAUAUUGGGAGGAACACCAGUGGCGAAGGCGGCUUUCUGGGCCACGACUGACGCUGAGGCGCGAAAGCUAGGGGAGCAAACAGGAUUAGAUACCCUGGUAGUCCUAGCCGUAAACGAUGGGCACUAGGUGUGGGGGGUCAUCGACUCCCUCCGUGCCGCAGCUAACGCAUUAAGUGCCCCGCCUGGGGAGUACGGCCGCAAGGUUAAAACUCAAAGGAAUUGACGG